AAAGACUUUGUAUGUUUUUGUUAUUCAAAUAUUUCAGUUUUUAUUGUUCUAUUGAAUUCUUAAUGGACAGAAUCCAAAUAAUGAAAAUAAAAUUACAUGAAAUUACUGUAUACAAUUGAUCAAUGGGAGAAUUAUUAUUUGUCAGAUUUUAUAAGAUACCUAAUUGCGAACAGCCCAAGUACCAAAAGUAAAACAAACAGAAGCCAGUUCUUCAUAUCCUUUUGCUUCUUCAUCUCCAUGACCAUUUCACCAAACACCUGCUUGAAAAUUUCUGUUGCAAAUUCAUAAUUACUUCCCCUCACAAUUCCUGUUCCAACCCCAUUUUUAUCUGUCUUAUCCUGAA
Molecule: unclassified non-coding RNA, 343 nt
Filed under: Hevea brasiliensis (rubber tree)
Lineage: Eukaryota; Viridiplantae; Streptophyta; Magnoliopsida; Malpighiales; Euphorbiaceae
Source: RNAcentral